GGGGGGAGCAAGCGUUGUUCGGAUUUACUGGGCGUAAAGGGCGCGUAGGCGGCCACCGCAAGUCGACUGUGAAAUCUCCGGGCUUAACUCGGAAAGGUCAGCCGAUACUGCGGGGCUAGAGUGCAGAAGGGGCAACUGGAAUUCUCGGUGUAGCGGUGAAAUGCGUAGAUAUCGAGAGGAACACCUGCGGCGAAGGCGGGUUGCUGGGCUGACACUGACGCUGAUUGUGCGAAAGCUAGGGGAGCGAACGGGAUUAGAUACCCCGGUAGUCCUAGCCUUAAACGAUGGAUGCUUGGUGUCUGGGGUUUUAUAGUCCCCGGGUGCCGUCGCUAACGCUUUAAGCAUUCCGCCUGGGGAGUACGGUCGCAAGASKG
Molecule: ribosomal RNA, 374 nt
Filed under: uncultured bacterium
Lineage: Bacteria
Description: bacterial SSU rRNA
Rfam family: Bacterial small subunit ribosomal RNA
Source: RNAcentral